RNAcentral lists this ribosomal RNA (466 nucleotides) under uncultured bacterium. RNAcentral describes it as "partial 16S ribosomal RNA". It matches the Rfam family "Bacterial small subunit ribosomal RNA", at positions 339 to 795 of the family's 1533-position model. The record is from RNAcentral.
CUACGGGAGGCUCCAGUGAGGAAUUUUGCGCAAUGGGGGAAACCCUGACGCAGCAACGCCGCGUGAGUGAUGAAGGCUUUCGGGUCGUAAAGCUCUGUCAAGUGGGAAGAACAUGUAUAAGGCCAAUACCCUUAUGCACUGACGGUACCACUGAAGGAAGCACCGGCUAACUCCGUGCCAGCAGCCGCGGUAAUACGGGGGGUGCAAGCGUUAUUCGGAAUCAUUGGGCGUAAAGAGCACGUAGGCGGUUUUUUAAGUCAGAUGUGAAAGCCCGGGGCUUAACCCCCGGAAGUGCAUUUGAUACUGGGAAACUUGAGUAUGGGAGAGGGAAGUGGAAUUCCUGGUGUAGAGGUGAAAUUCGUAGAUAUCAGGAGGAACACCGGUGGCGAAGGCGACUUCCUGGACCAAUACUGACGCUGAGGUGCGAAGGCGUGGGGAGCAAACAGGAUUAGAUACCCUGGUAGUC